UCGUGGAGUGAUCUGUCUGCUUAAUUGCGUUUCAGAUAUAAUGCUACGUGGACGACUCAAUGCACAUGCAUUUGUUUGUGUGUGUGUUGUACGGCCCUAGCGUGUGAAAGCAACGAACGUGACCGCAACCCAUUGUUACCAAGCGUGGUCUAUCGCCUCUAGUAACUAUGGGGACUGCCAGGGUUUGUCAAACCGGAGGAAGGUUGCGGCAAUAACA
This 217-nucleotide ribosomal RNA is filed under the name uncultured eukaryote. Its description in RNAcentral is "partial 18S ribosomal RNA". The record is from RNAcentral.